GCCUCCCUCCGCCGCCACUCAGACUCCUACGGAGGCGAGCAGUGGGGAAGUAAUUGGUACGAAUGGGGGAACCGUACGAUCCAGCGACGCCGCGUGUGUGAGAAGGCCUGCGGGUUGUAAGCACUUUUAGUUGGGACGAAAAGACUACGGACUAACACUCUGUGGUCUUGAUUUAACCAAGAAAAGACACCGGCUAACUCUGUGCCAGCAGCCGCCGCGGUAAUAC
Molecule: ribosomal RNA, 226 nt
Filed under: uncultured bacterium
Lineage: Bacteria
Description: partial 16S ribosomal RNA
Rfam family: Bacterial small subunit ribosomal RNA
Source: RNAcentral